This 353-nucleotide unclassified non-coding RNA is filed under the name soil metagenome. RNAcentral describes it as "partial contains 5.8S ribosomal RNA, internal transcribed spacer 2, and large subunit ribosomal RNA". The stretch from base 1 to 120 matches the Rfam family "5.8S ribosomal RNA", at positions 35 to 154 of the family's 154-position model. The record is from RNAcentral.
GAUGAAGAACGCAGCGAAAUGCGAUAAAUAAUGUGAAUUGCAGAAUUCAGUGAAUCAUCGAAUCUUUGAACGCACAUUGCGCCCGCCAGUAUUCUGGCGGGCAUGCCUGUUCGAGCGUCAUUACAACCCUCAGGCCCCCGGGCCUGGCGUUGGGGAUCGGCGGAAGCCCCCUGCGGGCACAACGCCGUCCCCCAAAUACAGUGGCGGUCCCGCCGCAGCUUCCAUUGCGUAGUAGCUAACACCUCGCAACUGGAGAGCGGCGCGGCCACGCCGUAAAACACCCAACUUCUGAAUGUUGACCUCGAAUCAGGUAGGAAUACCCGCUGAACUUAAGCAUAUCAAUAAGCGGAGGA